This 1527-nucleotide ribosomal RNA is filed under the name Triticum aestivum (bread wheat). RNAcentral's name for it is "partial small subunit ribosomal RNA". The record is from RNAcentral. Lineage: Eukaryota; Viridiplantae; Streptophyta; Magnoliopsida; Poales; Poaceae.
AUGGAACAAGACGACGCCCCCGGUUUUGCCCAGCAGGUCUCCGACGUCGUGCGCUCUCCACCGGCCACUCCCCCCGUCAGAAUCAGCCACAACUCACACGAGGGUCUACACUCCCAGCCAUACACGUCCAGGAAAGGCACCUUGUCACGCAGCGCGUCUCGUGUCAUUGAUAAAUACCGCCGCAAGAGAGCCACAAAUAAGUCGACGAAAGGCAAUGCAACUAGCACCAGAAUAAAUUCAAGAUGCCAACCAAAGUGUGUCGUUACUUUGAUUAACAGUUUUGAUGACAUGAAAAAGGAUCUUGUCCGUCAAACAGGGCUUCACGGCAUCCUUCAGCUGAAGUUAACUAAAGUUAACAGACAGUAUGGCGCAUGGCUUCUGAGCAAGAUUGAUGUUGAUUCAUGUGCCAUCGUAGCUGAUCUUCAUAAAGUGAUCCCCUUCUCUGCGAGGGACGUUAAUUCAGUCUUGGGUGUACCAUGCAGCGGGAGAACCAUUGAGACCUGUAACCAAGAUGAGACAAUCUACCUGGACCAUAUUGCGCCAUCAAAUAACGAUGUCAACUGUGAAACCAGUCCUAGGAUUGCGGCAUUCGAUGAUGACCUCGUCACCCGCAUUAUCAUGAAUGACAUGAAGUGCAAACACAACAUUGGGUUCCCUUUCCCUCAGUUUGGGAAGCUGCAGGUCCGGCGGUCUGGGCAGUCACGGUGCACUUCAUUUGAACCCCACAUCAGACCUUACCCCAACAUCCUUCAGCAAGGAUACUGCUUCACCAUGCCAACAUACAAUGAAGUAUGGCUUCAAAAUUCUUGUCCGUUCAACAUCUCCAUAAAGUUACGCACUCUCCAGCAAUCAAUUGCACGCGGUGGCUGGAUGGAUACUGACUGCUUAAAUUUUGCGAUCCGCAAAAUGUUCUUGGAUGACGUGGAUCGGUUCGAGGGAACAAACUAUUUGGGAUGGAGACACUUCAUAAACCUCGACUUUGCAAGCUAUGCCUUGGCGGGGGGUGAAUUCUGGGUUCCAGAGCACCAGCUAGGACACUUCAUUGGAACACACAUACGUUAUGACGUUUCGCAAAGCCAUCAGAUACUCAUACCACUUCAUCUAGUUAAUCACUAUGCGUUGUAUGCAUUCGACAUGGAGAACAAGAAAAUAUCGAUACUUGACUCGCUCAGUGCACUAGGCCCCUUCAACGAAUCAAGAAUAUCUAGACAUAACAAGACAUGUCACACCAUAGCAUAUCAUCUCGCCGAGUGCAUGAGAUUAGCUUUUCCUGGAUGGGAUGAGGACAUACCUAGCUGGGGUAUUGAGGUCGUAGAGAACAUACCAGAACAACAAAACUCGGAUGAUUGCGAUUUUCUUGUAUUGAACUUCAUGCGCAACUGGAAUGGCCUCCGUCUAAUUAAUUUCAUAAGCAAGGAUUCUAACGACCUAAGGUGCACUUUUCUACUGGACUUGCUGACGUUCAAGACAAAUGAAGCUUCUCUUCCAGAUUGGGUUAAACUCCAGCUCAGCCAGCUUAGGGAUUAG